This 735-nucleotide ribosomal RNA is filed under the name uncultured bacterium. RNAcentral's name for it is "bacterial SSU rRNA". It matches the Rfam family "Bacterial small subunit ribosomal RNA", at positions 102 to 857 of the family's 1533-position model. The record is from RNAcentral.
ACGGGUGAGUAACGCGUGGGUAACCUACCCUGUACACACGGAUAACAUACCGAAAGGUAUGCUAAUACGGGAUAAUAUAUUUGAGAGGCAUCUCUUAAAUAUCAAAGGUGAGCCAGUACAGGAUGGACCCGCGUCUGAUUAGCUAGUUGGUAAGGUAACGGCUUACCAAGGCGACGAUCAGUAGCCGACCUGAGAGGGUGAUCGGCCACAUUGGAACUGAGACACGGUCCAAACUCCUACGGGAGGCAGCAGUGGGGAAUAUUGCACAAUGGGCGAAAGCCUGAUGCAACAACGCCGCGUGAGUGAUGAAGGCCUUCGGGUCGUAAAACUCUGUCCUCAAGGAAGAUAAUGACGGUACUUGAGGAGGAAGCCCCGGCUAACUACGUGCCGGCAGCCGCGGUAAUACGUAGGGGGCUAGCGUUAUCCGGAUUUACUGGGCGUAAAGGGUGCGUAGGCGGUCUUUCAAGUCAGGAGUGAAAGGCUACGGCUCAACCGUAGUAAGCUCUUGAAACUGGGAGACUUGAGUGCAGGAGAGGAGAGUGGAAUUCCUAGUGUAGCGGUGAAAUGCGUAGAUAUUAGGAGGAACACCAGUUGCGAAGGCGGCUCUCUGGACUGUAACUGACGCUGAGGCACGAAAGCGUGGGGAGCAAACAGGAUUAGAUACCCUGGUAGUCCACGCUGUAAACGAUGAGUACUAGGUGUCGGGGGUUACCCCCUUCGGUGCCGCAGCUAACG